Molecule: transfer RNA, 74 nt
Filed under: Candidatus Omnitrophica bacterium CG11_big_fil_rev_8_21_14_0_20_63_9
Lineage: Bacteria; Pseudomonadati; Candidatus Omnitrophota
Description: tRNA-Pro
Rfam family: tRNA
About the family: Transfer RNA (tRNA) molecules are approximately 80 nucleotides in length. Their secondary structure includes four short double-helical elements and three loops (D, anti-codon, and T loops).
Source: RNAcentral
CGGGGCGUGGCUCAGUUUGGUAGAGCGUCUGGUUUGGGACCAGAAGGUCGCAGGUUCAAAUCCUGCCGCCCCGA